AUUGAACGCUGGCGGCAUGCCUUAUACAUGCAAGUCGAACGGCAGCACGGGUGCUUGCACCUGGUGGCGAGUGGCGAACGGGUGAGUAAUACAUCGGAACAUGUCCUGUAGUGGGGGAUAGCCCGGCGAAAGCCGGAUUAAUACCGCAUACGAUCUACGGAUGAAAGCGGGGGACCUUCGGGCCUCGCGCUAUAGGGUUGGCCGAUGGCUGAUUAGCUAGUUGGUGGGGUAAAGGCCUACCAAGGCGACGAUCAGUAGCUGGUCUGAGAGGACGACCAGCCACACUGGGACUGAGACACGGCCCAGACUCCUACGGGAGGCAGCAGUGGGGAAUUUUGGACAAUGGGCGAAAGCCUGAUCCAGCAAUGCCGCGUGUGUGAAGAAGGCCUUCGGGUUGUAAAGCACUUUUGUCCGGAAAGAAAUCCUUGGCCCUAAUACGGUCGGGGGAUGACGGUACCGGAAGAAUAAGCACCGGCUAACUACGUG
This 486-nucleotide ribosomal RNA is filed under the name uncultured bacterium. RNAcentral's name for it is "partial 16S ribosomal RNA". It matches the Rfam family "Bacterial small subunit ribosomal RNA", at positions 30 to 507 of the family's 1533-position model. The record is from RNAcentral.